Molecule: ribosomal RNA, 448 nt
Filed under: uncultured bacterium
Lineage: Bacteria
Description: partial 16S ribosomal RNA
Rfam family: Bacterial small subunit ribosomal RNA
Source: RNAcentral
AUAAACGCUGGCGGCGUGCCUAAAACAUGCAAGUCGAACGGCCCAUUUUGGUGGGUAGUGGCGAACGGCUGAGUAACACGUGGGUGACCUGCCUUCGAGCGGGGGAUAACUGCCCGAAAGGGUGGCUAAUACCGCAGAUGUCGGUUCUUCGUUGAGCUGACUGAACCGAAUUUAGGGUUCGGAGAGGGGCCUGCGUCCGAUUAGCUAGCUGGUGGGGUAACGGCCUACCAGGGCGACGAUCGGUAGCUGGUCUGAGAGGAUGAUCAGCCAGACUGGGACUGCGAGACGGCCCAGACUCCUACGGGAGGCAGCAGUUAGGAAUUUUGGGCAAUGGGCGAAAGCCUGACCCAGCAACGCCGCGUGGGCGAAGAAGGCCUUCGGGUCGUAAAGCCCUUUUCCAGGGGAAGAUAGUGACGGUACCCUGGGAAUCAGCCCCGGCUAACUACGU